UGAAUUGCAGAAUCCCGUGAACCAUCGAGUCUUUGAACGCAAGUUGCGCCCGAGUCCUCUGGACGAGGGCACGUUUGCCUGGGUGUCACAC
This 91-nucleotide ribosomal RNA is filed under the name Calyptranthes sp. US:Tripp3128. RNAcentral's name for it is "partial 5.8S ribosomal RNA". It matches the Rfam family "5.8S ribosomal RNA", at positions 68 to 154 of the family's 154-position model. Rfam says of the family: 5.8S ribosomal RNA (5.8S rRNA) is a component of the large subunit of the eukaryotic ribosome. It is transcribed by RNA polymerase I as part of the 45S precursor that also contains 18S and 28S rRNA. The record is from RNAcentral. Lineage: Eukaryota; Viridiplantae; Streptophyta; Magnoliopsida; Myrtales; Myrtaceae.